AUUAAGUUGAUCAUGGCUCAGGCAUGAGGCGUAAGGCGUGCCUAAUACAUGCAAGUCGAGCGAAUGGAUUGAGAGCUUGCUCUCAAGAAGUUAGCGGCGGACGGGUGAGUAACACGUGGGUGACCUGCCCAUAAGACUGGGAUAACUCCGGGAAACCGGGGCUAAUACCGGAUAAUAUUUUGAACUGCAUGGUUCGAAAUUGAAAGGCGGCUUCGGCUGUCACUUAUGGAUGGACCCGCGUCGCAUUAGCUAGUUGGUGAGGUAACGGCUCACCAAGGCAACGAUGCGUAGCCGACCUGAGAGGAUGAUCGGCCACACUGGGACUGAGACACGGCCAGACUCCUACGGGAGGCAGCAGUAGGGAAUCUUCCGCAAUGGACGAAAGUCUGACGGAGCAACGCCGCGUGAGUGAUGAAGGCUUUCGGGUCGUAAAACUCUAGUUGUUAGGGAAGAACAAGUGCUAGUUGAAUAAGCUGGCACCUUGACGGUACCUAACCAGAAAGCCACGGCUAACUACGUGCCAGGCAGCCGCGGUAAUACGUAAGGUGG
This 549-nucleotide ribosomal RNA is filed under the name uncultured bacterium. Its description in RNAcentral is "bacterial SSU rRNA". It matches the Rfam family "Bacterial small subunit ribosomal RNA", at positions 1 to 534 of the family's 1533-position model. The record is from RNAcentral.